This is a long non-coding RNA of Cavia porcellus (domestic guinea pig), 1704 nucleotides long. RefSeq lists it as uncharacterized. The transcript is spliced from 3 exons. Lineage: Eukaryota; Metazoa; Chordata; Mammalia; Rodentia; Caviidae. The record is from RefSeq and is a predicted model, not a curated record.
AGGAGAGGUGGAGAGGGGGCGCGGGGCCUGGAGCCGUCACCUCAAGCUCUGCCCAGCUCUGGACGCUGCAGCCCUCCCUCCAGCCCAGCCCAGGAAGACAGGGUCUCCCCCAGUCUACUGACGUAAGCAACAGGACCGUUGGGUGCCAAUGGACACCUGAGUCCAAUGUGCUCCACUGUAACAACACAGGAACACAACACCCAGCGUCCGACACAGAGAAGCAGGGGCUUGGUACACUCCGUUAUUCCAGGAAAUCUCUCAAUACCUCCAAGGAAGCCUCUGAUGAUCAGAUGAAAGUAGGACAAAUAAUCUGAAGUCAUGACUAUUCCAAACACUGGUAAGUCACUCUGUUCUUAUAAUGGUUACCCCGAGGAUGAGACUGUCUACAUUUGUGCUAGGAUAAAUUUCUCCAGUAGUUCCAUACUGAAGCACUUAUCACCCUGAUGAGGCAGACAUUAGGGUAAAUACAAAUUAGAAAAAUUAAAACUUCCCUGGUGAAGAAGGAAAGAGAUCAUCUCCUCUCCUUUUUCUUUCAAUAUUUCCUUCAGAAAGACAUUCUCUGUCUUUUCUUAAAAGUGAAACAAACCCCUCUUGCCAGUUUUGUAUCCAAGGAAUGCCUUUCUUGGGGGUUUAGAACCAUCUCCCUGAAAUGUAAAGUCAGGAGGAAGGGGCCCUGGCUCUCUGCUUCUGUAGGAGUUUGGCCAGGUCCUCAGCUCCUGGUUUCAACUGUCUUCUCAUGCAAAAGACCUAGAAAGUUUUCCUUUUCCUUUGGAGAAAGACAGCUAGCAAGUGUGUGUUCCCUUCUAGCCAUACAAAAAGGUAAGAUAUCUACGUAUUUCUGCUGUACCUUUUGUAGAGAGUAAAUGAAGCACCUACAGUCUGACUUGAGGCUUGUCUGAUUAUAAAGUGAUCUCAUUCUUCAUUUUGUGGAAAGGAUUCACCAUUUAUUAUUAGAAAUAUUAGCCUUAUUUUUUCAAUACUAAUAAGUGCCUAUAAGAUAACUUAUGGUUGAUACAUUGUGUCAACUUGAGCAGUUUAGAAGUUUAAUUGAGAGACUCAGCAGGAAGCCAGGGUUCCUUCUUUGUAAAUAUCCUCAUCCUGUGCAAAGGAGGGCAAGGAGAUUUUGUGAGAGCUACUGCCCUAGGCAGGGAGACUGCAAAACAGUAUAAUGAAGGAGAAGAGGCUUAUUCCCCCCGGCCCCCGCCCUUUUUGCUCUGGCUGCUUCCUUGAAGUGUUGCUGCAGUGCCACGCCGCCCGGCCUUGGAACCAGAUGAUUAUGGACUGAAACCUCCACAAACAGUGAGCUAAAAAAUAAACCUUUCCUUCCUUCAUUUUGGGUGUCAGAUGUUUUGUCCCAGGAAUGAGAGAAAAGUAACCAAGACAAUAACUAAUGUCCAUUCAGUGAGUACUCACUAAUCUGUUCCAGGUGUUGUGCCAAGAUAAGGAGGGCUGAGAAAAUUGUCUUUGACAACCUCAGCCAAUGUACAAGGCCAAGGUGUUACGACUGCACCUUCUUCCAAGGACCCAAGACAAUGAUUAUUUCUCAAGACUAAGAGACUUGUGUUUUUUGAUCAUCGUUUCUAAUAAAGCAACCAUAAUGUGGUCUACAGUUUGAGUUUCUUUGCCUUAACCCAAGGCCUAUUUUUUUUCUUGUGUAAAGUAGGAAAAUUGUUCCAAGAAUUUUGAACCACAUGCAUCUAUUAU